Mercurialis annua (annual mercury) is the source of this 80-nucleotide small nucleolar RNA. RefSeq annotates it as small nucleolar RNA U31b. The record is from RefSeq and is a predicted model, not a curated record. Lineage: Eukaryota; Viridiplantae; Streptophyta; Magnoliopsida; Malpighiales; Euphorbiaceae. The transcript has a single exon.
GGAUGUGAUGAUUUGUUUUUGACACCCAGUCUUACUUCUAUUAUAUGAAGCUGGUGAUAAACACUACAUUUAUCUGAUUC